CUCAGAUUUUUGUUCUUGUGUUAAAAGGGUUUAUUUUUUUAGUUUCUUGCAUUCUGAUCCCUGAAUCUCUGAAACUGUAUCACUAGAGAAAAUUCACAGAUUCAAUAUUUGCAAACCAAAUCACAAUGAGAAAACACAAAACUUUGGCAUUUCUUAUAUUACAUACAUAGAUGUUACACUGUUACAGAAAGUUCAAAGCUACAUGUGUCAAGACUUAGACUUGAUAAUUCCAAGAGGAUCAAACAAUACAAAACUACAUCUGAUUCUACAACAUAACAACAUUUCUCCAAGAAGCUCAAAAGUCUCUGCUAUUGAGUCCUCAUGGAGUAAAACAAGAAGACUUGCCUAAAAUUUUCCUGAGUUUUCUCGGUUAUAAGUCUCCAUGGAUGUGCUUCAGUUCUAAAGGAAGCUUCUUCGUUACUGCUUCAAAGUCGUCCUCUUCUUGUCUCUUUGUCUUCUAGAAGUUGCAUUAAGCUCAUAUCGUUCUUUCAACUUGUCGAAGGCCUAGACUCAGACAAUGAAAAAGAUGUGACAUUUUAGAAGUUGCAAAAAGAAUGUGCAUACUAAUGGCAAUGGUCAGAAAGAAAAGAUGAGAGCAGUGCUAAAUCAUGAAUUUCAACUUCUGUUUUUCACUUACACCUAAGAGUUUAAUGAGAAAACUAGCUGU
RNAcentral lists this long non-coding RNA (667 nucleotides) under Arabidopsis lyrata. RNAcentral's name for it is "long non-coding RNA (ALYR_LNC002552)". Lineage: Eukaryota; Viridiplantae; Streptophyta; Magnoliopsida; Brassicales; Brassicaceae. The record is from RNAcentral.